AUACGGGGGGUGCAAGCGUUAAUCGGAAUUACUGGGCGUAAAGGGCGCGUAGGCGGUUACUUAAGUUAGAUGUGAAAGCCCCGGGCUUAACCUGGGAAUUGCAUUUAAUACUGGGUAACUAGAGUGUGGUAGAGAGUAGCGGAAUUUCUGGUGUAGCGGUGAAAUGCGUAGAUAUCAGAAGGAACACCAAUGGCGAAGGCAGCUACUUGGGCCAACACUGACGCUGAGGCGCGAAAGCGUGGGGAGC
This 247-nucleotide ribosomal RNA is filed under the name uncultured bacterium. Its description in RNAcentral is "partial 16S ribosomal RNA". It matches the Rfam family "Bacterial small subunit ribosomal RNA", at positions 523 to 769 of the family's 1533-position model. The record is from RNAcentral.